CUGACACAGGGGAGUGAAAUAAAUUGAACGAAGGCUCUGAAGAUUUGUGUUACACUAGUAGCUUCUUGCAACAGUUCACCAGUGAUUUCAAGAGGGAAUUCCAGAAAAACUAGAAAGGAAAAAAAUCUGCUACAAACUACCAGGUUUGGAGGUUCAGAGAGGGACAGCUUCCCCUCCUGUGAAGAAUUAAUGUGACUGGGUGUCAGGACACAGGAGGGUGCAUGUAAAGCACAUAUUUGCAAGCUCAGCCUUCUUGAAGAGCAGAAAUUGCAGGAGGCCAAUACAUUUUCCUCAUGAAUACAGGGAUCUGCACUGCUGGUGAUGUAUCAUUUUUAUUAGGAGUUGGGCCCAAGCCACCGAGUUCUCCUGCAGAUCCAAAUUUCCCUUAAGCCCCUCUCUAAUUGCUAUGUAGUAUCUUAAAGAUACACAAGACUUGUCACUUCAACUUGGGCCUGGAACAAGGACCCCUUUCUGCCUGUAACUAAAAUUAUUUGAGGACAAAAGAAAAAAUAAA
Molecule: long non-coding RNA, 514 nt
Organism: Mauremys reevesii (Reeves's turtle)
Lineage: Eukaryota; Metazoa; Chordata; Testudines; Geoemydidae
Exons: 3
Source: RefSeq, a predicted model, not a curated record